RNAcentral lists this long non-coding RNA (462 nucleotides) under Macaca mulatta (Rhesus monkey). Its description in RNAcentral is "lncRNA (ENSMMUG00000039081.2)". The record is from RNAcentral. Lineage: Eukaryota; Metazoa; Chordata; Mammalia; Primates; Cercopithecidae.
AAAGGAUUGAAGUAACAGAUCUGUAGACCCAGAGGCCUGACAGUGUGGUUGUGUAAAAUUGUUGGUGUUGGUGUCUUGGGCUCAGGAGAUUCCACAGGUAACCUCUCAAAUGUUGUCUCCACAGGAAGGACCUAACCGUCUUAGGAGGUUUAUUUUCAUGAUCAGUGGUCAGCCCUGUUUUCUGCUGGGAUAAACCUUGUGGAAGAUCUCUUCAUGCACAAAGUGACACAGAUGAAGAAAAUGAAGUACAACAAAAUCAAGCUCUUCGGCACAGGCUUCCAGGCACCAAGAGAUUUGGGACUAGCAUACAGAUCCACCACCCCACAAACUUACCUUUAUCACAGUUACAUAUUAAGAAUUUUAUAUUUGUACAUCUUAAUGCACCUUGUUUUGUAGGGCUGAUUGAAGACUUUUUUUGCCCUCUGGCGACAUUGUAACUGUGAAAGCAAUGGACGAAUAAAG